Molecule: ribosomal RNA, 490 nt
Filed under: uncultured bacterium
Lineage: Bacteria
Description: partial 16S ribosomal RNA
Rfam family: Bacterial small subunit ribosomal RNA
Source: RNAcentral
AUUGAACGCUGGCGGCAUGCUUUACACAUGCAAGUCGGACGGCAGCACAGAGAAGCUUGCUUCUUGGGUGGCGAGUGGCGAACGGGUGAGUAAUAUAUCGGAACGUACCGAGUAAUGGGGGAUAACUAAUCGAAAGAUUAGCUAAUACCGCAUAUUCUCUGAGGAGGAAAGCAGGAGACCUUCGGGCCUUGCGUUAUUCGAGCGGCCGAUAUCUGAUUAGCUAGUUGGUGGGGUAAAGGCCUACCAAGGCGACGAUCAGUAGCGGGUCUGAGAGGAUGAUCCGCCACACUGGGACUGAGACACGGCCCAGACUCCUACGGGAGGCAGCAGUGGGGAAUUUUGGACAAUGGGCGCAAGCCUGAUCCAGCCAUGCCGCGUGUCUGAAGAAGGCCUUCGGGUUGUAAAGGACUUUUGUCAGGGAAGAAAAGGCUGUUGCUAAUACCGACAGCUGAUGACGGUACCUGAAGAAUAAGCACCGGCUAACUACGUG